Molecule: ribosomal RNA, 274 nt
Filed under: uncultured bacterium
Lineage: Bacteria
Description: partial 16S ribosomal RNA
Rfam family: Bacterial small subunit ribosomal RNA
Source: RNAcentral
AUACGGAGGGUGCAAGCGUUACUCGGAAUCACUGGGCGUAAAGCGCGCGCAGGCGGGCUGAUAAGUUGGAUGUGAAAGCCUACGGCUCAACCGUAGAAUUGCAUCCAAAACUGUCAGUCUAGAGUCUGGGAGGGGAAGAUGGAAUUAGUUGUGUAGGGGUAAAAUCCGUAGAGAUAACUAGGAAUACCAAAAGCGAAGGCGAUCUUCUGGAACAGUACUGACGCUGAGGCGCGAAAGCGUGGGGAGCAAACAGGAUUAGAAACCCUAGUAGUCC